CAGUAGCCACGGUAAUACGGAGGGAGCUAGCGUUGUUCGGAAUUACUGGGCGUAAAGCGCGCGUAGGCGGCUUUGUAAGUUAGAGGUGAAAGCCUGGAGCUCAGCUCCAGAAUUGCCUUUAAGACUGCAUCGCUUGAAUCCAGGAGAGGUGGGUGGAAUUCCGAGUGUAGAGGUGAAAUUCGUAGCUAUUCGGAAGAACACCAGUGGCGAAGGCGGCUCACUGGACUGGUAUUGACGCUGAGGUGCGAAAGCGUGGGGAGCAAACAGGAUUAGAUACCCGUGUAGUCCCUGUCUCUUAUAU
This 301-nucleotide ribosomal RNA is filed under the name uncultured bacterium. RNAcentral describes it as "partial 16S ribosomal RNA". It matches the Rfam family "Bacterial small subunit ribosomal RNA", at positions 509 to 809 of the family's 1533-position model. The record is from RNAcentral.